GGCACUAUGGCCGAGUGGUUAAGGCGACAGAUUCGAAUCGGCCGAGCGCCGGGUCCCAUCUGUUUCCCUAUGGGAGCGUGAGUUCAAAUCUCACUGGUGUCG
Molecule: transfer RNA, 102 nt
Filed under: Obba rivulosa
Lineage: Eukaryota; Fungi; Basidiomycota; Agaricomycetes; Polyporales; Gelatoporiaceae
Rfam family: tRNA
About the family: Transfer RNA (tRNA) molecules are approximately 80 nucleotides in length. Their secondary structure includes four short double-helical elements and three loops (D, anti-codon, and T loops). Further hydrogen bonds mediate the characteristic L-shaped molecular structure. tRNAs have two regions of fundamental functional importance: the anti-codon, which is responsible for specific mRNA codon recognition, and the 3' end, to which the tRNAs corresponding amino acid is attached (by aminoacyl-tRNA synthetases). tRNAs cope with the degeneracy of the genetic code in two manners: having more than one tRNA (with a specific anti-codon) for a particular amino acid; and 'wobble' base-pairing, i.e. permitting non-standard base-pairing at the 3rd anti-codon position.
Source: Rfam by way of RNAcentral